UACGGGGGGGGCAAGCGUUGUUCGGAAUUACUGGGCGUAAAGGGCGCGUAGGCGGUUCGUCAAGUCCUGUGUGAAAUCCCCCGGCUCAACUGGGGAACUGCACAGGAAACUAGCGGGCUUGAGUUCGGGAGAGGGAAGCGGAAUUCCGGGUGUAGCGGUGAAAUGCGUAGAUAUCCGGAGGAACACCGGUGGCGAAGGCGGCUUCCUGGACCGACACUGACGCUGAGGCGCGAAAGCUAGGGGAGCAAACGGG
Molecule: ribosomal RNA, 253 nt
Filed under: uncultured bacterium
Lineage: Bacteria
Description: partial 16S ribosomal RNA
Rfam family: Bacterial small subunit ribosomal RNA
Source: RNAcentral